CGAAAGGAACGCUAAUACCGCAUACGUCCUACGGGAGAAGGCAGGGGACCGUUCGGGCCUUGCGCUAUCAGAUGNAGCCUAGGUCGGAUUAGCUAGUUGGUGAGGUAAUGGCUCACCAAGGCGACGAUCCGUAACUGGUCUGAGAGGAUGAUCAGUCACACUGGAACUGAGACACGGUCCAGACUCCUACGGGAGGCAGCAGGG
RNAcentral lists this ribosomal RNA (204 nucleotides) under uncultured Pseudomonas sp. Its description in RNAcentral is "partial 16S ribosomal RNA". It matches the Rfam family "Bacterial small subunit ribosomal RNA", at positions 152 to 354 of the family's 1533-position model. The record is from RNAcentral. Lineage: Bacteria; Pseudomonadati; Pseudomonadota; Gammaproteobacteria; Pseudomonadales; Pseudomonadaceae.